GGCUCAGAUUGAACGCUGGCGGCGCGCCUAACACAUGCAAGUCGAACGAGAAAGUGGAGCAAUCCAUGAGUACAGUGGCGUACGGGUGAGUAACACGUGGGUAAUCUACCUCUUAGUGGGGAAUAACUUUGGGAAACCGAAGCUAAUACCGCAUAAGCUCGAGAGAGGAAAGCAGCAAUGCGCUGAGAGAGGAGCCCGCGGCCGAUUAGCUAGUUGGCAGGGUAAAAGCCUACCAAGGCAAAGAUCGGUAGCCGGCCUGAGAGGGCACACGGCCACACUGGCACUGAAACACGGGCCAGACUCCUACGGGAGGCAGCAGUGGGGAAUCUUGCACAAUGGGGGAAACCCUGAUGCAGCGACGCCGCGUGAGCGAUGAAGCCCUUCGGGGUGUAAAGCUCUUUCGGCAGGGAAGAUAGUGACGGUACCUGCAGAAGCAGCUGCGGCUAACUACGUGCCAGCAGCCGCGGUAAUACGUAGGCAGCGAGCGUUGUUCGGAGUUACUGGGCGUAAAGGGUGUGUAGGCGGUUGUUUAAGUUUGGUGUGAAAUCUCCCGGCUCAACUGGGAGGGUGCGCCGAAUACUGAGCGACUAGAGUGCGGGAGAGGAAAGUGGAAUUCCUGGUGUAGCGGUGAAAUGCGUAGAUAUCAGGAGGAACACCGGUGGUGUAGACGGCUUUCUGGACCGUAACUGACGCUGAGACACGAAAGCGUGGGUAGCAAACAGGAUUAGAUACCCUGGUAGUCCACGCCCUAAACGAUGCAUAUUUGGUGUGGGCAGUUCAUUCUGUCCGUGCCGGAGCUAACGCGUUAAAUAUGCCGCCUGGGGAGUACAGUCGCAAGGCUGAA
This 844-nucleotide ribosomal RNA is filed under the name uncultured bacterium. Its description in RNAcentral is "bacterial SSU rRNA". It matches the Rfam family "Bacterial small subunit ribosomal RNA", at positions 21 to 898 of the family's 1533-position model. The record is from RNAcentral.